This 465-nucleotide ribosomal RNA is filed under the name uncultured bacterium. Its description in RNAcentral is "partial 16S ribosomal RNA". It matches the Rfam family "Bacterial small subunit ribosomal RNA", at positions 28 to 507 of the family's 1533-position model. The record is from RNAcentral.
GACGAACGCUGGCGGCGUGCUUAACACAUGCAAGUCGAACGGAAAGGCCCUGCUUGCAGGGUACUCGAGUGGCGAACGGGUGAGUAACACGUGGGUGAUCUGCCCUGCACUUCGGGAUAAGCCUGGGAAACUGGGUCUAAUACCGGAUAGGAGCCAUUUUUAGUGUGAUGGUUGGAAAGUUUUUUCGGUGUAGGAUGAGCUCGCGGCCUAUCAGCUUGUUGGUGGGGUAAUGGCCUACCAAGGCGGCGACGGGUAGCCGGCCUGAGAGGGUGGAAGGCCACAUUGGGACUGAGAUACGGCCCAGACUCCUACGGGAGGCAGCAGUGGGGAAUAUUGCACAAUGGGCGCAAGCCAGAUGCAGCGACGCCGCGUGGGGGAUGACGGCCUUCGGGUUGUAAACUCCUUUCGCUAGGGACGAAGCUUUUUGUGACGGUACCUAGAUAAGAAGCACCGGCUAACUACGUG